UACGGAGGGAGCAAGCGUUACUCGGAAUUACUGGGCGUAAAGGGCUCGUAGGCGGCCAACUAAGUCAGACGUGAAAUCCCUCGGCUUAACCGGGGAACUGCGUCUGAUACUGGAUGGCUAGAGGUUGGGAGAGGGAUGCGGAAUUCCAGGUGUAGCGGUGAAAUGCGUAGAUAUCUGGAGGAACACCGGUGGCGAAGGCGACUACCUGGCCUGUUCUUGACGCUGAGGCGCGAAAGCUAGGGGAGCAAACGGG
This 253-nucleotide ribosomal RNA is filed under the name uncultured bacterium. Its description in RNAcentral is "partial 16S ribosomal RNA". It matches the Rfam family "Bacterial small subunit ribosomal RNA", at positions 524 to 776 of the family's 1533-position model. The record is from RNAcentral.